UGAUAUGCUUGUCUGCAGGGCUAAGCCAUGCACGUCUAAGUAGAAGCCCGCCUCCGGCGGGCGAGACCGCGAAUGGCUCCGUACAACAGUCCCAGUUUACUGGACGAUCGCCACCCUAUUUGGAUAACCGUGGUAAUUCUAGAGCUAAUACAUGCACCCGAGCUCCGACUAUGCGGGGCGUCCGGUGGGGCGGGGUCUCCGUUUCUUCUCUCUUCGCGAGGGGGCAGCGGGGGGUCCGUGUCGCCGGGCGCGUCGCGGGAGGAGCGCUCUUAUUAGCUCAAAGCCGGCCGGNGCUCAACCUCNCCGGUCGUUCGUUCCGUACGCGGGGCGGCGGCGGCGGGGCGGCCCCAACCAUCCGGCGAAUCGAAAGAAUCCGCAGAUCGGGCGGCGCCCAAGAAGCGUGCGCCCGACACGUGCUUUGAGCGUGUGCCUCAUCAGCUCUCGACGGUAGGUUAAACGCCUACCCUGGCGGCAACGGGUAACGGGGAAUCGGGGUUCGGUUCCGGAGAGGGAGCCUGAGAAACGGCUACCACAUCCAAGGAAGGCAGCAGGCGCGCAAUUUACCCCCUCCCGGCACGGGGAGGUAGUGACGAGUCGUACCGCCGCGGGCCCCCGCGCGGGGCCGCGUGGGCGGAAUGAGCACAAUUCAAGUCCUUUAGCGAGGACCCAUCGGAGGGCAAGUCUGGUGCCAGCAGCCGCGGGAACUCCAGCUCCGAUAGCGUAUGUUAACGCUGCUGCGGUUAAAGAGCUCGUCGCCGGAACUCGGCCUCGGAGGGGCGGUUCGCCGGAGGGCGACACUUCCCCGUUCCGGGCGCAGUGGCGCGUUCUCGGGGGGCGGGGUCAUGGGGCUCGUGCGGCGUCGGCGGUGUUCUAGCGCGUCGCGUCCGGGCGGCAGGCGCGUCCGGCCGAAGGCGGGGGCGGUAAGUUCNUCNUNGUUNUCNUGNNAAUCNUUGGUGGUNAUUUCCGGANCNNNCGGUUCUUCCUUCGUAAGGGGNUAANCGNNAAGGANNNNNNNNNNNNNNNNNNAGAAGGGGNCUCUUCCUNUUGUNNAGGGGCAAAGGGGGUUUCCUCCCCCUGUCGGCUCGUCCGGCCGUCUCGUCCGUCCGGCCGUCGGCUCAGCGGCCGCCGCCGCACGCGGGUUCGCUCUCCGCCGACAAGACCCCGGGAAAUCGGCGCCGGUUUCCUCGAGAAAAUCGGAGUGCUCAGAGCAGGCUUAUUGAGGCUCGCACGGUAGUGCAUGGAACAAGACCCCAACGGUCCCGGCUCGUCUUUGCCGUCGGCUUUCGGGGGCCGGGAACCAGGGUCGAUGGGGACGGCCGGGGGCAUUGGUACCGCGGCGUUAGAGGUGAAAUUCAGGGAUCGUCGCGUGACCGCCGACUGCGAAAGCAUUUGCCCAGGACGUUCCCGUCGGCCGAGAACGAAAGUCGGAGGCUCGAAGGCGAUCAGAUACCGCCCUAGUUCUAACCUUAAACGAUGCCGACCGGCGAUCCGCCGCAGGAGGCGCGCGAAAUGCGCCUCGGCGGGCAGCCCGCCCGGGAAACCCGAGUUUUCGGGCUCCGGGGGGAGUAUGGUCGCAAGGCCGAAACUUAAAGGAAUUGACGGAAGGGCACCACCAGGAGUGGAGCCUGCGGCCUAAUUUGACUCAACACGGGGAACCUCACCAGGUCCGGACCCCGGCAAGAUUGACAGGUUCACACGACACAGCCCUUUCUCGAUCCGGUGGGGGGUGGUGCAUGGCCGUUCGUGGUUCGUGGAGCGAUCCGUCUGGUUCAUUCCGGUAACGGGCGAGGCCCCGGCCAGUUAACUAGAGCGGGGCUCCCCGCACAGGGCGCCCGUCGCAGGGGGGGUAGCGCCGGGCGUGUCGGGGGGAGGCGCGCGGCGUGUCCGGCGGUUCGCGGGUCAGCGGGUGCGUGUCGGUCUCUCGGGGCCGGCCCCUCCCGCGCUCGCGUGUCCGGCGGCCGUCUCCGCGUCUCGUCCGGCGUCCGGCGUCCCUCCGGCUCUUCUCAACGGGACGGGCGGCGGGAAGCCGCACGAAGUCGGGGCAAGAACAGGUCCGUGAUGCCCUUAGAAGUCCUGGGCCGCACGCGCGCUACACUGACGGAGGCAACGCGCCACCAUGUUCGCCGCCCGGCCCGAGAGGGCCGGGGAACCGCUGAACCUCCGUUCGUGCUGGGGACUGGGGGCUGCGACGCCCCCACGAACGAGGAAUUCCUCGUAGGCGCGGGUCAUCAGCCCGCGUCGAUUACGUCCCUGUCCUUUGUACACACCGCCCGUCGCUACAUCCGAUCGAGCGAUCGAGCGAGGUUUUCGGACCGGGCCCGGCGCCGUCC
Molecule: ribosomal RNA, 2330 nt
Filed under: Heterojapyx sp. GG-2001
Lineage: Eukaryota; Metazoa; Arthropoda; Diplura; Dicellurata; Heterojapygidae
Also listed under: 1 other name
Description: bacterial SSU rRNA
Rfam family: Eukaryotic small subunit ribosomal RNA
Source: RNAcentral